CGCGUUCGCCCCGGACCUGGGACCUAUAAAAGCGCCAACUGUUCAGACACCGGCGGUUGCUACUGGUUGACUACGGUACCGGACCAGUUGCCUGGGUAGGGUCUCGUCAUAUCCCCGGUCAAGAAAAGCCGCUAAGAGGAUCUUAGCGGGGAGAGGGGUUGAAGAUGGUUUUAGCGGUGAGGUAUAUAAAAAAUGUUAGGAUAGAUCAAUUCCAUAUUAAUCAAUCCUAACAUUUUUUGUAUACUUCACCGCUAAGACCUUUUUCGACCCCUCCCCCCGCUAAGACCAUCUUAGCGGGUUUUCUUGACCGGGAUCAAUGGUAAGUGGUAAUUAGAGUCAGUCCGCUCUCUCUCCCCCUUGCGGUUCGUUCUUGCUACUCCGCUGCUGUACUCGACGACCAGAGCGGCAGAACAACGAACUAGCCGGAACACGACGACGACGAGCGCGACAGACGAGCUCGAGUCGCCGUUCGUGUCUGUCCAGGCAGACUUCACCGGCGCGACUUGUGGUAGAAGAGUGCCACCCCGGACGCCCGCAGGUGCCGCACCUUGUAGUCGCCGCUCGGAACGUCGCCACGGCGGUAGUUGCUUUGGCGGUACCUAAGUCUGUUGCUUAAGUUAGGCCGGUAAUUGACGCAGACGAGGAUGUUGUAGUCGUGGCAGACGGUGUAGUGGUCCGACUCUCAUAUACGUGAUCUACACCAACCAGUCUAAGGGCGCCUUGACGAUUUAAAUUGAAUGGACUGUCAUGACAUACUUGAUAAAGGUGGUACUUCGAAGUUUCGAUUACCUACAGGUGAAUUUCACAAUGUGUACGAGUGUUAAUGUUCGACGUCAAGGGGAUCAAUGACAUACUACGUACGGUAAUCGCCCUCUAUCUUCCUCACGUCAUCAAAAAGUAUCUGAUAAACAAGAUUAGAAUGUAGAUAUCCAAUCUUACCACGCUUGACUCAUAAGUACACAAUAUGUAUGUCAAAGAAGCAACUGAUCAAUACGGAGAAAGUUAUAUUCAGCGAAGACAACUACACAAACCAAAAGUCUGCGGGAAGGGAAAUAAAUGUACAAUAAAAGUCAGCUAAAAAAGGGUUAUUGAACUUUUAACAUCAAAUUGAUAUUGUCCGAGUGCGAUGAAGAUAUCAAGUACGUUAUUGUAAAUACAAUGUAUAGUAAACCAUCGUACCAUCAAGAUCAACGGAAAUGAAAGGUUCCGGAUAUGCUUAAUUUACGACUACGGACGGUCGGUUAUUCUCAAAGACGUUAACUUUUAAACCUUUGUAAUCAAAAUGUAACUAAGACUACGCGAAGCGGCGAAAGUCCCUAAAUAGGGUCUUAAUGAACUGUCCUAGAAACGGUCGUAAAGAACCUUUCGACUGAGCCAACGUCAUAGAUUCAAACUCAUAGUUACGUAAUUGACCUCAAAAUGGCUCGCUCGACCCAUUGGAGUUCUUAGAGUAAAGAGACCCGCAAUCGUGUUUAUUCAAACAGCCAGGUGAGGGGCUUCAUCAUCUUUUGAACUGGUUUGAACUCGUUGACAUAUAGCUAUCAACACCAAAUUCACCUCUCGAUGGUAGAAGGAAAAGGUUUGAAUUCUUGGACUUUAGGGAUACCCGUAGUCUAUUACCCAAAUGACCCUUCUAUGGACUAAUGUAACCUUCGAAUAGUUUAAACGUCCUAGACUCUGAGGUACCUUUAUUGAAACUGCCAGGGUAAGGACGUUCAAAAAGAUUAGAAUAGUUGAACUGUUUAAACUCUUAACCACUAAAUUGCCCUCUCGACAGAAGUAACCGAAAACACCAAUUGUACUGCAGCAACAUAUGAGAUCUAGACUCUUUGAGGUCCUAUAGACUGUUGGAACGAAGUCACCUGAAGAGUUUUAAACAAUUGGAGUUAAUAGACCUGAACUCAAAAUUGUCGUAGUGUCCGUUUCAAUGAGGUUUGGAAGACUUGGACUUAGGGGAGCUUAAGGAUAAAGAACCCUCAUUAUUGGAGAGACCCUAGGAUGGUCUAUACUAAUCGGGAAGUGAAUGAUGAUAACUAGACAGUAUGUUAUACGAGAGUCCUUCUAUGGGAAGAACCCAAUUGUACUUAUUGAAUGUACACUUAAACCACACCUUGUUGAAACCCUAUCUAUUGAGCUUGUUGUCAUAAAACGGAAGUCCUGAUUUAACAGAAGUCGCUCUAUGAGGUACAAAACUAAGAGGUAGAAUAAGGAGGAAACGCCAUCUGAGACCACCAAGCUCUGGGUAGUCUCCGAGUCUGUUGAGGUAAAUGCUUGGACUACUACGGUCAGAAGGUCAACGUAGUAUGAUACAAUGCUUGAGUUGUUCUACCCCGCAAUCGUUGUAGCCCUCUAAGUACCUGAGCAGAUUACCCUCAAUAUAUUAUAUGUGAAGAGCGGCCAAAUGGUUGUGUGAACUAAGACUUGAUAAAGUCUGUCGGUCUUACAGUGGGAGAAGUAACUCUAUGAUGCCGUAACCCGAGUUCUUACCGUACAUGUCGCAACAUGAAGUUAAACGUCUCUAAAAAAAGGGUCUACUGGUCUGUACCUUUUCGUACCCUUUCUCCUAAAAGUUAUAUAUAUAGGUCCCUCUAGAAUUUCUUUGUCUAAAGCUAUAUUUCUUUGUUUGUUUACCUUUUAGAAUAUGACGACAAGUUUCUGUCAUGUGACAACUUCAUUGCUUAUUAAAGUAACUAUAAGUAGAGAAAACCCGACCUUUCCCGUGAACAACGUAAGGACUGGUUCCCAAGAUACCCGGUAGCUAUAGUCGUAAUUCGCAUAGAAGAAUACUACCGUUGCCACUUCCCCUAGGACCAAGUGUCUCUUUGUCGUGAUGGUCAUCUUGUCCAAACCAACAACCUCAACAUCAGACACAACGUUAAAAUCCUAAAGAUCGUGAGCGACCCCGGAAACAAACCUCCGUCUUUUCUUCUUCCGAUCUCCACCUUUACCUUCUCGACAAGUCAUAUCAACCUUCCGGAUUGCAGAAGUCAAUGCCACUUUAUUUCAGACGACGACUGUCAAAAUCACUAUCGUUGUAAGAGCCUUCUCCCCCUAUACCUGGACAAAUGUUCCAACCAAUGUAAAGGUUGUUCUAAUUCGUCGAGAUUUAAAGUAACAUCUAGCAACGAUAUGCGUUAGAUCUCAUUCUGUGGUGAAAACCAGAUACUCAUAGACCUUGUUCCCUCGGAGCUAGUUCGUUAAAAACCGUUCUGUCUGAACUUGGAUCUAACCUCUUGCGCGAAGCUCUAUACGUAUCCGUAACGUUCUCCAGAGCGUAUGGAGGUACUCCUCAGGUCGUACGCCUAUCAGGUGUCCCUGUAGUUUCGGUCGUUACAGAACGAGCUGCGACUAGAGUUGGGAUUCUAGAGACUGAAGCCCGACCGGUCCGUAAUGUUCCUGUCGUACUGCGUAGAGUUGUGGCCUCAUCGACCGUGCGAACCAAUAGAGCGUGGGCUCAUGCGGUACUACCCUGUGGACUGCCUUUUCCGGCUGCAAAAACGCAAGCCGCAGCACCGUGACCUCUGCCUUGAAGCUACUGUCGGAGCUCCUUCUACUCUUCAUAGAAGAACCUACACGGACCGUAGACGUACUCUCGGUUGCCUGUGAACUUGACAACCUGUCAUUUGAGUAACUUAAGCUACUCCUUCUCCGGCGCGCUGAGUAGUUACAGCGAGAAGAAACGUGCUACCCGGACGGAGUCGCUGCGGGUGGUUACAGGUUCCAGCACAGGUACGAGUCCCUUCUGUAACUCCACUGACUGCACCUGUGUUGGUAAUCCGGGUCGAUGCAGGGACUUACCGUCGAGUCCUCGGAGUCGUCGUCAAUGCAGAGUCCCAGCCCCAGCAGCCGAGUCGUCAGGAGGCCGUCAGUUUAGUCGCGCGGCAGGUCGAGCUCGUUCUUCGGGCCCUAGGUGUCCCUGUGGAGUGGCGACCGAAACAGCGCAACGAGAUCACCGCCCUAGCUUCUCCCUCGUACUUACGGGCCUCAUUUAACGUCUUUUGGUGGUAUUAACUCCUGGGAUUAAGUGUUU
RNAcentral lists this ribosomal RNA (4030 nucleotides) under Triticum aestivum (bread wheat). Its description in RNAcentral is "partial small subunit ribosomal RNA". The record is from RNAcentral. Lineage: Eukaryota; Viridiplantae; Streptophyta; Magnoliopsida; Poales; Poaceae.